AUUGAACGCUGGCGGCAGGCCUAACACAUGCAAGUCGAACGGUAGCACAGGAGAGCUUGCUCUCUGGGUGACGAGUGGCGGACGGGUGAGUAAUGCAUGGGGAGCUGCCCAAUCGAGGGGGAUACCAGCUUGGAAACGACUGCUAAUACCGCAUACGCCCUGAGGGGGAAAGGUGGGGACCUUCGGGCCUACCGCGAUUGGAUGCACCCAUGUGGGAUUAGCUAGUUGGUGAGGUAACGGCUCACCAAGGCGACGAUCUCUAGCUGGUCUGAGAGGAUGACCAGCCACACUGGAACUGAGACACGGUCCAGACUCCUACGGGAGGCAGCAGUGGGGAAUAUUGCACAAUGGGGGAAACCCUGAUGCAGCCAUGCCGCGUGUGUGAAGAAGGCCUC
Molecule: ribosomal RNA, 395 nt
Filed under: uncultured bacterium
Lineage: Bacteria
Description: bacterial SSU rRNA
Rfam family: Bacterial small subunit ribosomal RNA
Source: RNAcentral